This 557-nucleotide ribosomal RNA is filed under the name Epinephelus coioides (orange-spotted grouper). RNAcentral describes it as "partial 16S ribosomal RNA". It matches the Rfam family "Bacterial large subunit ribosomal RNA", at positions 593 to 1347 of the family's 2925-position model. Lineage: Eukaryota; Metazoa; Chordata; Actinopteri; Perciformes; Serranidae. The record is from RNAcentral.
UUUAACUCGUACCUUUUGCAUCAUGAUUUAGCCAGUGUAACCCAAGCAAAGAGCACUUUAGUUUGACCACCCGAAACUUUGUGAGCUACUCCAAGGCAGCCUAAUCAAUAGGGCCAACCCGUCUCUGUGGCAAAAGAGUGGGAAGACCUUCGAGUAGAGGUGAUAAACCUACCGAACUUAGUAAUAGCUGGUUGCCCAAUAACUGGAUUAAGUUCAGCCUCCCGGCUUCUUCCUUCUCCAACCCCCUCUGUCUCAACAGAUUCUAUAAGAAACCAGGAGAGUUAGUCUAAGGGGGUACAGCCCCUUAGAAACAAGACACAACUUUUAUAGGAGGAUAAAGAUCAUAAUUAAUUAAGGCCGCAAGUUAGGGUGGGCUUGAAAGCAGCCAUCCGAUUAAAAAGCGUUAAAGCUCAAACACACGUCAUCACAGGCCCCAAGUUUCGACCACCACUUCUUACUCCCCUUAUCCCACUCGGCCGUCCCAUGCAAACAUGGGAGCGAUCCUGCUAAAAUCAGUAUAUAGGAGGGCCUAACGGCCCUCUCCCUGCAUACAUGUA